This is a non-coding RNA of Triticum aestivum (bread wheat), 74 nucleotides long. The record is from Rfam. Lineage: Eukaryota; Viridiplantae; Streptophyta; Magnoliopsida; Poales; Poaceae.
AGCGGGGUAGGGGAAUUGGUCGACUCACCAGGCUCAUGACCUGAAGACUGCAGGUUCGAAUCCUGUCCCCGCCU